This 423-nucleotide ribosomal RNA is filed under the name Meleagris gallopavo (turkey). RNAcentral describes it as "partial small subunit ribosomal RNA". It matches the Rfam family "Bacterial small subunit ribosomal RNA", at positions 779 to 1395 of the family's 1533-position model. Lineage: Eukaryota; Metazoa; Chordata; Aves; Galliformes; Phasianidae. The record is from RNAcentral.
UAGAUACCCCACUAUGCCUGGCCCUAAAUCUUGAUACUAAUAUACUCACGUAUCCGCCUGAGAACUACGAGCACAAACGCUUAAAACUCUAAGGACUUGGCGGUGCCCUAAACCCACCUAGAGGAGCCUGUUCUGUAAUCGAUAAUCCACGAUCCACCCAACCACCUCUUGCCAACACAGCCUACAUACCGCCGUCGCCAGCCCACCUAAAAUGAAAGAUCAAUAGUGAGCUCAAUAGUCCCCACUAACAAGACAGGUCAAGGUAUAGCCCAUGAGGUGGAAGAAAUGGGCUACAUUUUCUAACAUAGAACAGACGAAAAAGGGCGUGAAACUCGCCCUUGGAAGGAGGAUUUAGCAGUAAAGUAAGACCAUACUUCUCUUAAGCCUACUUAAAGACGGCCCUGGGGCACGUACACACCGCCG